This 264-nucleotide ribosomal RNA is filed under the name uncultured bacterium. RNAcentral's name for it is "partial 16S ribosomal RNA". It matches the Rfam family "Bacterial small subunit ribosomal RNA", at positions 524 to 776 of the family's 1533-position model. The record is from RNAcentral.
UACGGAGGGUGCAAGCGUUAUCCGGAUUUACUGGGUUUAAAGGGUGUGUAGGCGGGUCUUUUAAGUCAGUGGUGAAAUCUCCGAGCUUAACUUGGAAACUGCCAUUGAUACUAUUGGUCUUGAAUUUUGUUGAGGUAGGCGGAAUAAGUCAUGUAGCGGUGAAAAUGCAUAGAUAUGACUUUAGAACACCAAAUUGCGAAAGGCAGCUUGCUAAAACAAAAUAUUUGACGCUGAGGCACGAAAAGCGUGGGGGAUCAAAACAGG